This is a long non-coding RNA of Bos taurus (domestic cattle), 2270 nucleotides long. NCBI's taxonomy places the organism in Eukaryota, Metazoa, Chordata, Mammalia, Artiodactyla, Bovidae. The record is from Ensembl.
GUGGACUUUUGUUAGUCACUGCUCUGACCCAUUUUGGAGCUGUCUAUAAAACCCCAGCUUCCCAGCUCUGUUCCCAGGAGGCUACACAGAGAUGGAAUAUUUGGUUUGGGGAUACAUAGAUGGGAUCAGUAGAUAUUUUUUUGUUGCCCACACCUGUAACUGACCACAGGCUUAACAACAACAGUGAGCUGAACCAAAAUCUAGGGAGCUUUAAGAUUUUCUCUAAACACUCCCUAUUCUUCCCCAGUUAGUGGAUGAUGGCCAUUUGUCCACAUGUCUUAACUGACAAGUCUAUUCUAUCCAAAUUCUAGGCAUGGGAUUUGUUCCCUGUUUUCUUCCUCUCUACCCAGGACCAGUGUGAGCCUGUAAUCUAGAUAAGUGUGUCUUCUCUGAGGGCUGAAACUUUCCUUCAGGUGGCCUGUCUCAAGUUCCAGCCUGGGGAGAGGUAGUUAGCCACCCCAUUUGGUUCUCAUGCUUCAGCUUUAUUAAUCAUUGCAUUAAGAUUCUCCAGAGAAACAGAGCCGGUAGUAGAUCUAUCUACUAUCUAUCUAUCUAGAAGAGGGAUUGAUUUAUUAUAAGGAGUUGGCUCAUGCAAUUAUGGAGGCUGACAAGUCCCCAGUUUGCCAAAUGCAAAUCUGGAGAACCAGAAGAGCUGUUGGUGUAAUUCUAGUUCCAACGCCAAAAGGUUAGAGACCUAGGAAGAGCCAAUAUUUCCAUUUGAGUCCAAAAUUGGAGAAAAGUGGAUGUCCCUGCUAGUCAGGCAGGAGAAAUUCUCUCUCACUUAGAAGAGGGCCAGCCUUUUUUGUUCUUUCCAGCUUUCAAUUGAUUGAUGAGGUCCACCCAUAUUAAGAAGGACAGUCUGCUUUACUCAGUUGGCCAAUGCAAAUGCUAAUCUCAUUCAAAAACACCUUCACAGACAUACCUAGAACAGUAUUUGUACAACUGUCUAGGCACCACAUGGCCCAAUCAAGUUGUAUGUAAAAUUUAUCAUCAUCAACAUAAAAGCGAUCUACAGGCUACAAUAUAUGUUUUGGUUUUCUUCUUAAUUGGUUCAGAACUCUGACAGGGAAGAGUAGUGUUUCUUUGGGGGCAGGGGGUGAGGAUAUCCUCAAAGAGGAGAGGUACCUGCCUGGCCUCCAUCACUUUGGUGAUUAAAAGAAUGCUAAGCAUUUCAAAGAUACACUGGCUUUCUCUUUCUGUUUUUGUCCUUUGUCCUUUCUCAAAGUCCAUCUUUCUCUUUGAUAUCUGGCUGACUCACAAAAUCUCCUGAUUUAACUUCUAUGUCGACUAGACAACCUUGCUGUCUUUCCGCUCUUCUGAUCGCCUCUGAUCAAUACUACCCACUCAGCAGAGAUCUAAUUCAUAAGAAUAGUUGUGAUUUAUUGAAGAAUUAAUAAAUAUAAGGCAGCAUGCUAGGGCAUUAUGCUAGAAAUGGAAGUAACCUAGAUGUUCAUGGAUAAAGAUGAGGUACAUAUAUAUAAUAGAAUACUAGUCAGACAUAAAAAGGAUGAAAUAAUGCCAUUUUCAGUAACAUGGAUGGUCCUAGAGAUUAUCAUACUAAGUGAAGUAAGUCAGACAAAGACAAAUAUAUGAUAUCAUGAUUAUGUGGAAUCUAAAAAAAAAUGACACAAAUGAAAUUAUGUACAAAACAGAAAUAGAUGCACAGACAUAGAAAACAAACUUAUGAUUACCAAAGGGGAAAGGGCAUGGGGGAAGGAUAAAUUAGGAAAUUGGAAUAAACAUAUACAUACUACUGUAUAUAAAAUAGAUGACCAACAAGGAUCUACUAUACAGCACAGGAAAAUAUAUUCAAUAUUUUGUACUAAGCUAUAAGGGAAAACAACCUGAAUCAAAUAUAUAUGUAUGAUUGAAUGGAUUCUCCAGACAUGAAUAUUGGAGUGAGUUGCCAUGCCCUCCUCCAGGGGAUCUUCCCAACCCAAGGAUCGAAUCCACGGUGCUUAUGUCUCCUGCAUCGCAGGCAGAUUCUUUACCAACUAGCGCCACCUGGGAAGCCCCUUACAUAUAAUAUAUAACUGAAUAUAUAUACACACACACACACACAUAUAUAUAUUAUAUAACUGAAUCACUUUGCUGUAUACCUGAAACUAACACAACAUUGUAAAUCAACUAUACUUCAAUUACAUUUUUAAAAUAAAUAAAUAGAUAAAUACAUUUUAGCCAUAGAAAGAAAAGAGCACGCACUAGUAAGUUGGAGCUAGCAGCUUCAUAGCUCUUCAGUGCAUACUCUUCGCCUCUUCACCCAGGGUCCU